This 72-nucleotide transfer RNA is filed under the name Mus musculus (house mouse). It matches the Rfam family "tRNA". From Rfam's summary of the family: Transfer RNA (tRNA) molecules are approximately 80 nucleotides in length. Their secondary structure includes four short double-helical elements and three loops (D, anti-codon, and T loops). RNAcentral also lists the same sequence under 1 other name. The record is from Rfam by way of RNAcentral. Lineage: Eukaryota; Metazoa; Chordata; Mammalia; Rodentia; Muridae.
UGUGACAUAGCUUAGUGGUAGAGCACUUGCCUAAUAUGCAAAAGGUCUUGUGUUCAAUUCCCAGCACCAUGA